UUAGCCAGCUGAGUGGGGAGGAGAGAGGGACAGAGAGCCUGCUUGCUUUAAACGAGCCAACACUCGUGUAAGCGGCUCCUCUCCUCUCCCACUUUGCUCCUUUAAAGCAAGCAGGCUCUCUGUCCCUCUCUCCUCCCCACUCAGAGGCUCU
Molecule: non-coding RNA, 151 nt
Organism: Podarcis lilfordi (Lilford's wall lizard)
Lineage: Eukaryota; Metazoa; Chordata; Lepidosauria; Squamata; Lacertidae
Source: the annotation of a GenBank genome assembly